RNAcentral lists this ribosomal RNA (1234 nucleotides) under metagenome. RNAcentral's name for it is "bacterial LSU rRNA". It matches the Rfam family "Bacterial large subunit ribosomal RNA", at positions 1564 to 2808 of the family's 2925-position model. The record is from RNAcentral.
UGAAUACGAGACGCUAAGGCGUCGAAGUAGUGUAUGUCAUACUUCCAAGAAAAGCUUGCACUGUCAUAGAUAAAAAACGCCUGUACCAUAACCGACACAGGUGGGUAGGUAGAGUAUACUAAGGGGCGCGAGAUAACUCUCUCUAAGGAACUCGGCAAAAUAACUCCGUAACUUCGGGAGAAGGAGUGCCUUAUUCGUAAGGUUGCAAUAACAAGAUCCAAGCAACUGUUUAUCAAAAACACAGGUCUCCGCUAAGUCGUAAGACGAUGUAUGGGGGCUGACGCCUGCCCAGUGCCAGAAGGCUAAAGAAGUUGGUUAGCAAUUGCGAAGCUGAUAACUGAAGCCCUGGUGAACGGCGGCCGUAACUAUAACGGUCCUAAGGUAGCGAAAUUCCAUGUCGGGUAAGUUCCGACCCGCACGAAAGGCGUAAUGAUUUGGAUACUGUCUCGGAGAGGGGCUCGGUGAAAUAGACUUGUCUGUGAAGAUGCGGACUACCUGCACCAGGACAGAAAGACCCUAUGAAGCUUUACUGUAACUUGAAAUUGAAAUUGGACUUUAUUCGCGCAGUAUAGGUGGGAGGCGUUGAUUAUAAUCUUGUGGGAUUAUUGGAGCCAUCAGUGAGAUACCACUCUUGUAAUGUUAGAUUUCUAACUUUGAAUCAUUAUCUGGUCAAAGAACAGUUUCAGGCGGGCAGUUUGACUGGGGCGGUCGCCUCCUAAACGGUAACGGAGGCGUACAAAGGUUUCCUCUGAACGGUUAGAAAUCGUAUCUAGAGUGUAAAGGCAUAAGGAAGCUUGACUGUGAGACCUACAAGUCGAGCAGGGACGAAAGUCGGUCUUAGUGAUCUGACGGUACUGAGUGGAAAGGCCGUCACUCAACGGAUAAAAGUUACUCUAGGAUAACAGGCUGAUCUCCCCCAAGAGUUCACAUCGACGGGGAGGUUUGGCACCUCGAUGUCGGCUCAUCGCAUCCUGGGGCGGUAGUACGUCCCAAGGGUUGGGCUGUUCGCCCAUGAAAGCGGUACGCGAGCUGGGUUCAGAACGUCGUGAGACAGUUCGGUCCAUAUCCGGUGUAGGCGUUAGAAUAUUGAGAGGAGCCUUCUUUAGUACGAGAGGACCGAGAAGGACAUACCUCUGGUGUACCAGUUAUCGUGCCAACGGUAAACGCUGGGUAGCUAUGUAUGGAGUGGAUAACCGCUGAAAGCAUCUAAGUGGGAAGCCCACCUCAAGAUAAG